RNAcentral lists this long non-coding RNA (208 nucleotides) under Elaeis guineensis (African oil palm). RNAcentral describes it as "long non-coding RNA (EGUI_LNC082616)". The record is from RNAcentral. Lineage: Eukaryota; Viridiplantae; Streptophyta; Magnoliopsida; Arecales; Arecaceae.
UGGAUUGGGCUUUUCACUUUACAUUGGUGGUUCCAUUAGCAUUAACGACCAUAUGACAAGAUUGACAUUAGUUUAUUCUUUAUGAUACAAUUUUUUAUUUAUUAUUAAUGCAUAUAUAUUCUUUAUCCACUUUAUAUUGUUAAUAAUAUAAUUUUAUUUUUAAAAUUGCUAAUGUUGUUUGUGUUGUAAAAUUUAGAUGCAGUAGUUG